GAUGAACGCUGGCGGCGUGCCUAAUACAUGCAAGUCGAGCGAACGGACGAGAAGCUUGCUUUUCUGAUGUUAGCGGCGGACGGGUGAGCAACACGUGGAUAACCUACCUAUAAGACUGGGAUAACUUCGGGAAACCGGAGCUAAUACCGGAUAAUAUUUUGAACCGCAUGGUUCAAAAGUGAAAGACGGUCUUGCUGUCACUUAUAGAUGGAUCCGCGCUGCAUUAGCUAGUUGGUAAGGUAACGGCUUACCAAGGCAACGAUGCAUAGCCGACCUGAGAGGGUGAUCGGCCACACUGGAACUGAGACACGGUCCAGACUCCUACGGGAGGCAGCGGUAGGGAAUCUUCCGCAAUGGGCGAAAGCCUGACGGAGCAACGCCGCGUGAGUGAUGAAGGUCUUCGGAUCGUAAAACUCUGUUAUUAGGGAAGAACAUAUGUGUAAGUAACUGUGCACAUCUUGACGGUACCUAAUCAGAAAGCCACGGCUAACUACGUG
Molecule: ribosomal RNA, 497 nt
Filed under: uncultured bacterium
Lineage: Bacteria
Description: partial 16S ribosomal RNA
Rfam family: Bacterial small subunit ribosomal RNA
Source: RNAcentral